RNAcentral lists this small RNA (563 nucleotides) under Pongo abelii (Sumatran orangutan). Its description in RNAcentral is "processed transcript". The record is from RNAcentral. Lineage: Eukaryota; Metazoa; Chordata; Mammalia; Primates; Hominidae.
CGCCUGUCCCAACCUCUGGCUGGCUUCGGAGCCUGCAGGCACGGAAGGGAGUGCAGGUUCGCUCCUCCGCGGAAGUUCUUCCCCGGAUGCGCAGGCGGGAGCCCGGUGUCGGUGUACGAGGAUCCCCCGGACGCCGAGCCCACAGCGUUGCCAGCCCUCACCACCAUAGACCUGCAGGACCUCGCUGACUGCUCUUCGCUACUCGGGUCCGACGCGCCGCCUGGUGGUGACCUGGCCGCCUCGCAGAACCAUUCCCUCCAAACGGAAGCAGACUUCGAUCUGCAGGAUUUCAGAGAAACGGUGGAUGAUCUCAUUGCAGACUCAUCCUCUAUGAUGUCGCCUACCCUGGCCAGCGGAGACUUCCCCUUCUCUCCUUGCGACAUAUCACCAUUCUGGCCCUGCCUCUCCCCGCCAGUGGACCCACGGGCCCUGCAGUCACCACCGCUGCGCCCUCCAGACGUGCCGCCGCCUGAGCAGUACUGGAAGGAGGUGGCGGACCAGAACCAGAGAGCGUUGGGAGACGCGCUUGUUGAGAAUAAUCAACUGCACGUGACAUUGACCCA